Long non-coding RNA from Oncorhynchus mykiss (rainbow trout), 938 nucleotides. RefSeq lists it as uncharacterized. The record is from RefSeq and is a predicted model, not a curated record. Lineage: Eukaryota; Metazoa; Chordata; Actinopteri; Salmoniformes; Salmonidae.
CCAGUAACCCAGUACGAUUUCCUGCAAAUUCCAAAGGCAGAUCCCUGCUGGAACAUUUCAACCCGCCUGCCACGUCAGUUUGCUUCCACCAUCCUCCCUCGCUCCUUCUCCUCUUCUGCUCCUUCUCUUUCUCUCGCUCUUUCCGCCACAGAGGACUGGUCAAAACUGAACGGUACUAGUUGUUUUGAGGCGUAGUCAGAGUGACAGGUUAAAGGUUUGUCUUCAGCUCUGGUCAGCGGUAUCUUUUGAAGCUCUGUGUUUCGCUGAGAGAGGGGACAUCUUCGCCAAGGCCUGGGCUGCUCUGACCGAACUAAUGGGCAGUGACCUGCAGCCGGAGCGACCCCGCGGACCUUCCCCCCUCCUCACCCCCCCGCCUGCCCAGUGUUCAGACUACCUGUUCAUCAGGCUGAAGCUGAACAGUAGUCUGCACAUUGGUUAGGCUGGGCCGGGACACACACACAGGACACAUCUAACUACCAGCCAGCAGGGGCUCUGGUGAGAGGCUCUGGCCGGGUCUGAUUCUCCACCAUGACAAUGAGAGGGAGGAGGGAGCAUGCAAUGCAGAUCAUAUAUCAGCCCAUGGAGUAGUAGCAGAAUCUUUCUGACAGUUUGUAUUGUACUAUUUUGUGUUGUACUUAUCCCAGCGUUAGACACUCACCUCCUCAUCCUUGUACCAGGAUAGUGACUCUGCGGUCAGGACGAACCAGUACUCCUUGGAGCCUCCCUUCAUGAUGCUGAUGUUGAUGGUGAGCCAGCCUUUGCGGAUGACCUGUUAGGGGAGAGAUAGGGGUGGGGGAACAGGGGAGCGAGGGGUGGUGGGGGACAAGGUAUACCAGGAGGAUGGAGGGAAAACAAGUCAUUAAAGUACUCAUGAUUUACCUCCUGGAGAUCUUGUGAUAUGACUAACUUAACUGACCAAUAAAAACCUUACCUGGGUA